AUUGAACGCUGGCGGCAGGCCUAACACAUGCAAGUCGAACGGUAACAGGAAGUAGCUUGCUACUUUGCUGACGAGUGGCGGACGGGUGAGUACUGUCUGGGGAUCUGCCUGAUGGAGGGGGAUAACUACUGGAAACGGUAGCUAAUACCGCAUAAUGUCGCAAGACCAAAGCGGGGGACUUUCGGGCCUCGCACCAUCGGAUGAACCCAGAUGGGAUUAGCUGGUAGGUAGGGUAAUGGCUUACCUAGGCGACGAUCCCUAGCUGGUCUGAGAGGAUGACCAGCCAAACUGGAGCUGAGACACGGUCCAGAAUCCUAAGGGAGGCAGCAGUGGGGAAUAUUGCACAAUGGGCGCAAGCCUGAUGCAGCCAUGCCGCGUGUAUGAAGAAGGCCUUCGGGUUGUAAAGUACUUUCAGUCAGGAGGAAGGGUGUGAAAUUAAUACUUUCAUGCAUUGACGUUACUGACAGAAGAAGCACCGGCUAACUCCGUGCCAGCAGCCGCCGUAA
Molecule: ribosomal RNA, 506 nt
Filed under: uncultured bacterium
Lineage: Bacteria
Description: partial 16S ribosomal RNA
Rfam family: Bacterial small subunit ribosomal RNA
Source: RNAcentral